This 660-nucleotide ribosomal RNA is filed under the name Triticum aestivum (bread wheat). RNAcentral's name for it is "partial small subunit ribosomal RNA". The record is from RNAcentral. Lineage: Eukaryota; Viridiplantae; Streptophyta; Magnoliopsida; Poales; Poaceae.
AUGUGCUUGUACGGGUACCCGGACGGUAGUUGGGAGUUGACACUGCCGGAGGAGAUGGUGCCGCCAGGCCUGCCGGUGCCGACACGAGGCAUCAACCGCCGGCGAGAUUAUGUGAACCGUUCUGACUACCUGACACUCGUCGCCCACCACUCCGACUCGUGGCUCAUGGGCGUCACCUUUUUCUUGUCCACUCAUCUCGACGCCAACCAAAGGAUACGUUCACUUGAUAUGGUAAACGAGAUGCGAACAGUCCAUGACGAAUUCUAUCUCUCUUACGAUCUUUCUUGGCUAUCAAGAUUUGCGCGAUACAAUGCAAACAAGGAGUCGAGUGCACUAACUCAAGAGAAUGUGUCCAAUCCAGACGUAGUCUCCAUCACACAUGCUGAAGAGAACGUGCCACCUGCUCAAGACUCGAUGCAAGUUUUGUCUGCUCCAAACAGGGACUCUAGGAAGCCUGCUAAAGACAAACAAAAGGAUAAUAAAGUUACUGACUUUUGCGGAUCUUGUAAUGCUCCGUAUCAUGCCAAUGCCUUUUGGAUUGGUUGUGACGGAUGUGACCAGUGGUUCCAUGGCAAAUGUGUGAACAUAACUGCCUCUGAAGCAAAACAUAUCGAAGAAUACAAGUCUCCUGACUGCAUCCGCGAGGUGAUCGGAGAGUAG